Molecule: ribosomal RNA, 1429 nt
Filed under: uncultured bacterium
Lineage: Bacteria
Description: 16S ribosomal RNA
Rfam family: Bacterial small subunit ribosomal RNA
Source: RNAcentral
ACACAUGCAAGUCGAGGGGCAGCAUGGUCUUAUCUUGCUAAGGCCGAUGGCGACCGGCGCACGGGUGAGUAACACGUAUCCAACCUGCCGUCUACUCUUGGACAGCCUUCUGAAAGGAAGAUUAAUACAAGAUGGCAUCAUGAGUCCGCAUGUUCACAUGAUUAAAGGUAUUCCGGUAGACGAUGGGGAUGCGUUCCAUUAGAUAGUAGGCGGGGUAACGGCCCACCUAGUCUUCGAUGGAUAGGGGUUCUGAGAGGAAGGUCCCCCACAUUGGAACUGAGACACGGUCCAAACUCCUACGGGAGGCAGCAGUGAGGAAUAUUGGUCAAUGGGCGAGAGCCUGAACCAGCCAAGUAGCGUGAAGGAUGACUGCCCUAUGGGUUGUAAACUACUUUUAUAAAGGAAUAAAGUCGGGUAUGGAUACCCGUUUGCAUGUACUUUAUGAAUAAGGAUCGGCUAACUCCGUGCCAGCAGCCGCGGUAAUACGGAGGAUCCGAGCGUUAUCCGGAUUUAUUGGGUUUAAAGGGAGCGUAGAUGGAUGUUUAAGUCAGUUGUGAAAGUUUGCGGCUCAACCGUAAAAUUGCAGUUGAUACUGGAUAUCUUGAGUGCAGUUGAGGCAGGCGGAAUUCGUGGUGUAGCGGUGAAAUGCUUAGAUAUCACGAAGAACUCCGAUUGCGAAGGCAGCCUGCUAAGCUGCAACUGACAUUGAGGCUCGAAAGUGUGGGUAUCAAACAGGAUUAGAUACCCUGGUAGUCCACACGGUAAACGAUGAAUACUCGCUGUUUGCGAUAUACUGCAAGCGGCCAAGCGAAAGCGUUAAGUAUUCCACCUGGGGAGUACGCCGGCAACGGUGAAACUCAAAGGAAUUGACGGGGGCCCGCACAAGCGGAGGAACAUGUGGUUUAAUUCGAUGAUACGCGAGGAACCUUACCCGGGCUUAAAUUGCAGAUGAAUUACGGUGAAAGCCGUAAGCCGCAAGGCAUCUGUGAAGGUGCUGCAUGGUUGUCGUCAGCUCGUGCCGUGAGGUGUCGGCUUAAGUGCCAUAACGAGCGCAACCCUUGUUGUCAGUUACUAACAGGUUCCGCUGAGGACUCUGACAAGACUGCCAUCGUAAGAUGUGAGGAAGGUGGGGAUGACGUCAAAUCAGCACGGCCCUUACGUCCGGGGCUACACACGUGUUACAAUGGGGGGUACAGAGGGCCGCUACCACGCGAGUGGAUGCCAAUCCCCAAAACCUCUCUCAGUUCGGACUGGAGUCUGCAACCCGACUCCACGAAGCUGGAUUCGCUAGUAAUCGCGCAUCAGCCACGGCGCGGUGAAUACGUUCCCGGGCCUUGUACACACCGCCCGUCAAGCCAUGGGAGCCGGGGGUACCUGAAGUGCGUAACCGCGAGGAGCGCCCUAGGGUAAAACUGGUGACUGGGGCUAA